GUUAGGAAUAUUGGACAAUGGGCGCAAGCCUGAUCCAGCCAUGCCGCGUGAGUGAUGAAGGCCUUCGGGUUGUAAAGCUCUUUAGCCGAUGAUUAUAAUGACUGUAGACGGAAAAUAAGCACCGGCUAACUUCGUGCCAGCAGCCGCGGUAAUACGAAGGGGGCUAGCGUUGUUCGGAUUGACCGGGCGUAAAGCGCACGUAGGCGGUUUGUUAAGUCAGGGGUGACAUCCCGGAGCGCAACUCCGGAACUGCCUUUGAUACUGGCAAGCUAGAGUACGGAAGAGGUAAGUGGAACUCCUAGUGUAGAGGUGGAAUUCGUAGAUAUUAGGAAGAACACCAGUGGCGAAGGCGGCUUACUGGUCCGGAACUGACGCUGAGGUGCGAAAGCGUGGGGAGCAAACAGGAUUAGAUACCCCGGUAGUCC
Molecule: ribosomal RNA, 425 nt
Filed under: uncultured bacterium
Lineage: Bacteria
Description: partial 16S ribosomal RNA
Rfam family: Bacterial small subunit ribosomal RNA
Source: RNAcentral